AGGAAUAUUGGUCAAUGGACGAGAGUCUGAACCAGCCAAGUAGCGUGAAGGAUGACUGCCCUAUGGGUUGUAAACUUCUUUUAUAUGGGAAUAAAGUGCAGUAUGUAUACUGUUUUGUAUGUACCAUACGAAUAAGGAUCGGCUAACUCCGUGCCAGCAGCCGCGGUAAUACGGAGGAUCCAAGCGUUAUCCGGAUUUAUUGGGUUUAAAGGGAGCGUAGGCGGAUUAUUAAGUCAGUUGUGAAAGUUUGCGGCUCAACCGUAAAAUUGCAGUUGAUACUGGUAGUCUUGAGUGCAGCAGAGGUAGGCGGAAUUCGUGGUGUAGCGGUGAAAUGCUUAGAUAUCACGAAGAACUCCGAUUGCGAAGGCAGCUUACUGGACUGUAACUGACGCUGAUGCUCGAAAGUGUGGGUAUCAAACAGGAUUAGAUACCCUGGUAGUCCACACAGUAAACGAUGAAUACUCGCUGUUUGCGAUAUACAGCAAGCGGCCAAGCGAAAGCAUUAAGUAUUCCACCUAGGGAGUACGCCGGCAACGGUGAAACUCAAAGGAAUUGACGGGGGCCCGCACAAGCGGAGGAACAUGUGGUUUAAUUCGAUGAUACGCGAGGAACCUUACCCGGGCUUAAAUUGCAACUGACGGAUUUGGAAACAGAUCUUCCUUCGGGCAGUUGUGAAGGUGCUGCAUGGUUGUCGUCAGCUCGUGCCGUGAGGUGUCGGCUUAAGUGCCAUAACGAGCGCAACCCUUAUCUUUAGUUACUAACAGGUCAUGCUGAGGACUCUAGAGAGACUGCCGUCGUAAGAUGUGAGGAAGGUGGGGAUGACGUCAAAUCAGCACGGCCCUUACGUCCGGGGCUACACACGUGUUACAAUGGGGGGUACAGAAGGCAGCUACACAGCGAUGUGAUGCUAAUCCCAAAAGCCUCUCUCAGUUCGGAUUGGAGUCUGCAACCCGACUCCAUGAAGCUGGAUUCGCUAGUAAUCGCGCAUCAGCCACGGCGCGGUGAAUACGUUCCCG
This 1016-nucleotide ribosomal RNA is filed under the name uncultured bacterium. RNAcentral describes it as "bacterial SSU rRNA". It matches the Rfam family "Bacterial small subunit ribosomal RNA", at positions 357 to 1376 of the family's 1533-position model. The record is from RNAcentral.